GGUAGGUAUGGUGGUGCACGCCUGUAAUCCCAGCAGCUCAGGAGGCUGGGGCAGGAGGAUUGCAAGUUCAAAGCCAGCCUCAGCAACUUAGCAAGGCCCUGAGCAAUUUAGUAAGACCCUGUCUCUA
RNAcentral lists this small RNA (127 nucleotides) under Marmota monax (woodchuck). Lineage: Eukaryota; Metazoa; Chordata; Mammalia; Rodentia; Sciuridae. The record is from RNAcentral.